GGGGGGAGAGUUUUUUUCAGAUUUUUUUGUUUUGAGGGAUGAAAUGAUUUUUUUUUGCAAAAAUUUUGACUUAGUAUGAAACGGCGCUGUUUUGGGCCUAAGCUUCUGACUCCAAAACGGCGUCGUUUUGAAGCAGAGCCCGACGACCCGACCCGAUUUGUUAGAGGAUCUACGCUUUUUUUAUCCAAUGGGUUAUUUGCGGUCCUAACCCUUCCGCCUUUUAU
Molecule: long non-coding RNA, 224 nt
Filed under: Gossypium raimondii (Peruvian cotton)
Lineage: Eukaryota; Viridiplantae; Streptophyta; Magnoliopsida; Malvales; Malvaceae
Description: long non-coding RNA (GRAI_LNC005857)
Source: RNAcentral